This is a long non-coding RNA of Cervus elaphus (red deer), 1065 nucleotides long. RefSeq lists it as uncharacterized. The record is from RefSeq and is a predicted model, not a curated record. The transcript has 4 exons. Lineage: Eukaryota; Metazoa; Chordata; Mammalia; Artiodactyla; Cervidae.
AGUAAAUAUUUUGGAAUGCAUUUUAAUCUCCCCCAAGCCUGUAGGCAGAUGCACUGGUGUGGAACGAGCACCAGGCUGAGAACCAGGAGUCCUGAGUUCUGGGCCCAGAUCUGUUGUUAAUGGUUUGUGUGACCUUGGACACAUUACUAAUCCUUUCCGGAUCUCUGAGACCUAUUCAGGCUUUGGGCUUACGAAGCUAUGGCUUGAAAAAACAAGUCACUGCCUCUCAAACUUCUAAUCUCCUUUCAAUGUAGCUUAGUCUCUUUACUUAUUCUGAGCAAAAACACACACGCUUUAGAGCCCCUUCACUGCUGGGCAAGCGGUCAGGACUCUGUUAAUGAUCAAACUGGAGCACCGUGCAGCUGGUCUUGCUGGUCACAUGGAAGCUCAGAAGAAAUGAAGCCACUGGGAAAAACCACUGAUGCCGUGACCUUCUGCUCACAGGGCCCCAGUGCAGGCCGAAGACAGCAGCGGCUUUCUUUUCGCUGCCUCUGAGAAGACCCUCGGGAGAGGCUGGCCUGGGGUCUUUGCAGCAAGUGCGCGUCUGGCUCCAGGCUGCUGUGAUGGAUAGAGGCAAUUUCCCCGCGAAAUCGGCUGCAGAAUUGGCAGUUGCACGGGACAUCCAUUACAUCCCUGCCGGAGAGAGAAGCUUUUCCAGAGCGCCUCAGGACGGAGCGAUGCCGCUCACAAGGGGGGUGGGGAAGCAGAAAUAACCUAAAGGGAAAGGCGUCUAUUUUAAUUUUUUUGCAGAGCUGCGUCUCCUACAUAUGGGUCCAGCCCACUCUUGUGAAGCGGCUCCUUUUGGAAAACAAGGGGACUUGCGAACGGCUUUGUUAAAGAUAAGAAAACUGAGGCACAGGGCAAUGAGGUGACUUGUCCAAGGUCAUCUCUCAGUAAGAAGAGGAGCCAGAUUCAAACCCAUGCUCUCUGGAACCCAUGUUCAUGUUCCUAACGCUCUUUGCUUCUGUCUCUUGCUCAUCUUGGGAAGCCAGACAACUCCCAGAGAUGUUCUUUCCCCUUACAGUUUAUUACAUAAUAUUGAGUUGAGAUCCCUGUACUCUACGG